ACGUAGGGGGCGAGCGUUGCUCGGAUUUACUGGGCGUAAAGCGCGCGUAGGCGGUCCAUUAAGUGUGCGGUGAAAUUCAGAGGCUCAACCUCUGUCCCGCCGCGCAAACUGGUGGUCUUGAGAUUGGGAGGGGGAUGCGGAAUUCCUGGUGUAGCGGUGAAAUGCAUUGAUAUCAGGAGGAACGCCGGCGGCGAAAGCGUCAUUCUGGCUUAUAGCUGACGCUGAGGCGCGAAAGCGUGGGUAGCAAACGG
RNAcentral lists this ribosomal RNA (251 nucleotides) under uncultured prokaryote. RNAcentral's name for it is "partial 16S rRNA". It matches the Rfam family "Bacterial small subunit ribosomal RNA", at positions 525 to 775 of the family's 1533-position model. The record is from RNAcentral.